CCGGAGAAUGUUAUCACGGGAGACACACGGCGGGUGCUAACGUCCGUCGUGAAGAGGGAAACAACCCAGACCGCCAGCUAAGGUCCCAAAGUCAUGGUUAAGUGGGAAACGAUGUGGGAAGGCCCAGACAGCCAGGAUGUUGGCUUAGAAGCAGCCAUCAUUUAAAGAAAGCGUAAUAGCUCACUGGUCGAGUCGGCCUGCGCGGAAGAUGUAACGGGGCUAAACCAUGCACCGAAGCUGCGGCAGCGACGCUUAUGCGUUGUUGGGUAGGGGAGCGUUCUGUAAGCCUGCGAAGGUGUGCUGUGAGGCAUGCUGGAGGUAUCAGAAGUGCGAAUGCUGACAUAAGUAACGAUAAAGCGGGUGAAAAGCCCGCUCGCCGGAAGACCAAGGGUUCCUGUCCAACGUUAAUCGGGGCAGGGUGAGUCGACCCCUAAGGCGAGGCCGAAAGGCGUAGUCGAUGGGAAACAGGUUAAUAUUCCUGUACUUGGUGUUACUGCGAAGGGGGGACGGAGAAGGCUAUGUUGGCCGGGCGACGGUUGUCCCGGUUUAAGCGUGUAGGCUGGUUUUCCAGGCAAAUCCGGAAAAUCAAGGCUGAGGCGUGAUGACGAGGCACUACGGUGCUGAAGCAACAAAUGCCCUGCUUCCAGGAAAAGCCUCUAAGCAUCAGGUAACAUCAAAUCGUACCCCAAACCGACACAGGUGGUCAGGUAGAGAAUACCAAGGCGCUUGAGAGAACUCGGGUGAAGGAACUAGGCAAAAUGGUGCCGUAACUUCGGGAGAAGGCACGC
RNAcentral lists this ribosomal RNA (788 nucleotides) under Escherichia coli. RNAcentral's name for it is "partial 23S ribosomal RNA". It matches the Rfam family "Bacterial large subunit ribosomal RNA", at positions 962 to 1751 of the family's 2925-position model. The record is from RNAcentral. Lineage: Bacteria; Pseudomonadati; Pseudomonadota; Gammaproteobacteria; Enterobacterales; Enterobacteriaceae. RNAcentral also lists the same sequence under 1 other name.